RNAcentral lists this small RNA (83 nucleotides) under Flavobacterium flevense. RNAcentral's name for it is "Flavo-1 RNA". It matches the Rfam family "Flavo-1 RNA". Lineage: Bacteria; Pseudomonadati; Bacteroidota; Flavobacteriia; Flavobacteriales; Flavobacteriaceae. The record is from RNAcentral.
GAAUUGCGUUAGGGAUUGCAGUGUAAAUCCUUUUGUUUUUUUCUUUAAAAAACAAAAGAUUGAAACGAAAAGCCCGACCCUUG